RNAcentral lists this ribosomal RNA (567 nucleotides) under actinobacterium MS-F-27. Its description in RNAcentral is "bacterial SSU rRNA". It matches the Rfam family "Bacterial small subunit ribosomal RNA", at positions 107 to 688 of the family's 1533-position model. Lineage: Bacteria; Bacillati; Actinomycetota; Actinomycetes. The record is from RNAcentral.
UGAGUAACACGUGAGCAAUCUGCCCUGGACUCUGGGAUAACCCCGAGAAAUCGGAGCUAAUACCGGAUACGACACCUCCCGGCAUCGGGUGGGUGUGGAAAGAAUUUCGGUCCAGGAUGAGCUCGCGGCCUAUCAGCUUGUUGGUGAGGUAACGGCUCACCAAGGCGACGACGGGUAGCCGGCCUGAGAGGGUGACCGGCCACACUGGGACUGAGACACGGCCCAGACUCCUACGGGAGGCAGCAGUGGGGAAUAUUGCACAAUGGGCGCAAGCCUGAUGCAGCAACGCCGCGUGGGGGACGAAGGCCUUCGGGUUGUAAACCUCUUUUAGUAGGGAAGAAGCGCAAGUGACGGUACCUACAAAAAAAGCACCGGCUAACUACGUGCCAGCAGCCGCGGUAAUACGUAGGGUGCAAGCGUUGUCCGGAAUUAUUGGGCGUAAAGAGCUCGUAGGCGGUUUGUCGCGUCUGCUGUGAAAAUCCGAGGCUCAACCUCGGACCUGCAGUGGGUACGGGCAAACUAGAGUGCGGUAGGGGAGAUUGGAAUUCCUGGUGUAGCGGUGGAAUG